RNAcentral lists this long non-coding RNA (3763 nucleotides) under Pelobates cultripes (western spadefoot toad). The record is from RNAcentral. Lineage: Eukaryota; Metazoa; Chordata; Amphibia; Anura; Pelobatidae.
GCACGCAACAAAUAUAUAUGGAAUUAUUAUUCUAGGAAAGCAGAUGGUGCUUAACAGUCCAUAUUUUCCACAAACAUGCAGUUCAAAAGUUUACAAAACCAUUAUUUAUAUGUGGAAACACAAUUUUACAUUGCAAAUCUCUGUAUGACCUAGUAAAUUGUCUGCAAAUAUAAUCUUAGUAUUAGCAAAAAUUUAUGAUCCACAAAGUUUGCAGUGUUAUAGCACUUUAAAACAAACACAGUAAUAUAUAUAUAUAUGUAUAUAUAAAUCUAUAUAAUUAUAUAUAGCUACAUCAUUUCUAGAAAAAAAACUGGAAGUUAUUAUAAUAACUUUUCAGGCUCUUCUAGUAAUGACUGGAAUGAAAUGGAUUCAAAACACAAAUUCCAAUAAUUCAGUGCAAGUGCUGCAUAUGUUUAAGUUGUUAAAUAUCAUCAACAGCCAGAAAUAAUAAUACAUAAGACUGUUUGAAGGAUGUAACUAUAAAGCACUGAGUCAUCAGGAUUACUGAAAUACAUCUUCUAUUAAGAAUUGCAGCCUCCUGCAAAGAGCUCUGUGGUUUCCGAUCAUGUUUUAUUCUCUUAAAAUUUUUUUUUUUGGUAUAAUAGAAAAUUUCAUUACACAGCUGCACCUAUAACAUCUUGGAAGAUAUUUUUUUUAACAUAGCCUCGGAAGAACACUGCAUCCUUAAAAACAGAAUGUUUACGUAUCUUCACUUGCCACCAAGACUAACCCUUGGUAGUUCUGAAAAGCGCUAGAACACUAAGGAUUCAAACUUCAUGUAUUAUUUUACAGUAUGUUCAACUUCAUCUGCCAAUGAAAGGGUUAAAAUGAUGUGUGUCUUCAAGAAAGAUAUGGUUUUACAGCACAGAAAUCACAAAAUAGAAAAAAAAAUACUGUAGGGCUUUUGUAAAAAAGGUGGCUCAAAUGCCACAAAUUUGUCUGUAGUUCUUGAGUUGUGUUAAUAAAUUGACCUUGUUUCAUUGUGUCUCUUAACCAUAUAUAUAUAUAUAUAAAGAUAUACAUAUGAUUUAUUUGGCAAUCCUAUACCAUGUUCACAUGUUACUAGUUUAGCAGCUACUGUACCUCUGUUGUCUUUUUGCCAUCGUAACUAUAUUUAACAUAUUAUUGCAUUUUUUUUCACAUGUUAGAGUGAAUUUUAAAAAAACCAAGCAUGCAGUCACAUCAAUGAAGACAUACUUCUUUGAAAUGUAAUACUGUAUAUGAUUUAUUAUGUCAACACUCAACCAUAUCAUAUUAUGUAUACUUGGUAUAUUCUGAAAAACGUGUUGCUCUAUAGGCAUCACUAUUUUUUUCUGAAAUAUUACAGAAUAAACAACUUGAAAGUCUUCCACAGUUAUUAUUAAAGAAACUAUCAUUAGUAUUAUAUAUAUAUGUGCUAAGACGGAGUCUUGAUAUCUUUUUUUCGAUGUUCUGGAUCCACAUAUUCUAAAAUUAAAAACAGACAUAAUCUCAGCUUCAUAGGCUGUCAUGUGUUUAAACAUCUCUAAUCUGGCAUUCUCCUAUUCAAAUAUCCAAUACCCGGGAGAUUGAGGCAAAAGUGUGAUUUAACAAAUUUCUCAUUUCCUGGCAUGGGAAUCAAGACAAGAAAUGGAAUCUAAUAUUUAUUAUAGUCUGCAGAAAAAGAGAAUUUCCAGAAUCUCCAGUCUAUGAAUAGCUGAGGAAAUUGCGAUCAAUACACUCCACAGAAAUGUUUAAUGCUUUAUAUAUGGAGAAAUCAGUUUUUAUUUGCUAAGCAGUGAGAUUCAGUGACAUGCGAAUCAAAAUUUAGACUAAAAUAAUCAAUGUGAAAAAAAUAAAUCAGUUGAUGUAACAAUAUCAUACAGUUUAUUCCAGUCUAAAUUUUGACAGUUGGUUCUCAGGUCAAUACAAAUCACUGUUAAGUAAAUAAUACCAAUUUGACACUGUAACUUGUGCCGUGAAGUUAAGAGUAUCAGAAAUUCAGUUUUAUUUACCAUGACAUAGUUUAAACCUCACAAAAUGCAUAGACAGAAAUUUAAUAUAAAGAAUUAGUUCGUUUAUACAUAAAACAUGUAUCCUUUGUUGUAAUGCUUUUUUUUUUUUUUACUUUUUCAUCAGUUUUUGGCAAAUCAAUAAUGAUAAACAAUAAUUAAAACUGUCAAAAUAAAAGUUUAAAUCUAAGCAAUAUAACAAUCAUCUAGAGCAUUACUCAAAUGUGGUUGAAAUUGAAAACCUGAGGCUUUGCACUGGUUGUUAGCGUAAAGUAUCUUUCCUUUAACAUUGUGCUUCCAUUGUAGAACAGAUAAAAAAUAGGAUGAACUAGAAAAAGGUUUUGUUUUUUUUUUCUGAACAGUGCUAGGACAUACAGACAGAAAAUCAAACACAGUAUCUACACAUAAUCCCGGAUUAGUAUGUAUCUAAAAAGAUUUAGGGGCAUUAGAAAAUGGGUACAUGUGACUUGUUUACAUCCAAAAAGUUAAAUAUGUAUCAAAUAAUAUUCAAGUUGAUUUAACAAAUGUACUAUAUACAAGAUGCUCCUGAAAUGCCCGAAUACUAUUUAAUUAAGAAAUAAAAAUAAAAACUACAAGUCUAAGAAACAAAACAAAAAUAGAAAUUAACAACAAUAAACCCACUUAGGUAAAAUAAAAAAUAAAUAUGGACACUGGUACCAGAUAAAUAAGAUUACAGUCCACUAAGUAAAAGAAAAUGGUUAAAUAAAUGAUUUAUUUAAACUACAACAUACAAGAGGAAGAACCAAUUCAUUAAACUGAACCUGGGCUUUAAUGUAAUUCAUCUAAUAUCCUUUUCUUUUAACCUAUUUUUGAUAUUUGACUACUAGGAAUGUUAUACAUGGCUCAGCCCCAUUGACAGAAAAAAAGACUUAAAUGCUAUGUUUAAAAUGUUAACCAUUUGAAUGCAAGAUCCACGGGGCCAUAUUUUGCACAUCGCUCUGGCAGCCAAACGGUUAAAAAAUAAAUGAAGAACCUAUGCCACAUUUUAUUCAUCUACUAAAUUUAGUCCCUCUCGAGUGGUGUGCAUUUAACAACCAAAUAGACAGUACAAAGUAUAAAAACAUUGCUUGAAAAUGAAAUGUCAAACUCAAUAAAAAUAUUGUCAAGCGUUUAAUAAAUUCUAUACCUAAUUGUAUUGACUUUAUGACUCACCGCAUACAUGCAUACAUGUGAAUACAUAUGCAUAUACAUAGGUGGUUAUUUAUAUAUGUAGGUGUGCUGGAGAUUAAAUAGAGAUUAAAGGGCAAUCUGGAAGUAUAUUGUGUAAACAUAAAAAUAAAAAAUAAAAUGGUAUUUUGAAGUGAUAAAUCUUGUUAAGGCUGUAUAUUCAAGCACUGUAUGACUGAAUGUUAACGGAAGGAAGGGCAUGAUUUUUAAGCAAUAUGAAAAGUCCCAUGUUAUGAUUUGCAAUUAAAGUAUGGUGCUGUCAACAGCUGAAUGUUGGCACAAGCUGGCUAUUGAUAGUAGAAGUUAAUAAAAUAUAGCGGAAGAUGGUAAAAAAUGAAUUCUGAAAGAUGAUAGCCAGUAUUCCCCAGCAUUCAGCCUGAUAAGUAAAACUCAGAGUAACCAGGUUUGCAUUUAAAUGAAAUAUUCUUUCUUCUCCUCCGCGUUAACUUGGCUGCCUUCUGCAUUGAUAAUGGCUGUAUCUGCAUCAGGGGCAUCUUCCGCUCCUUUAGCUUCAUUUGUUAAAUAUGUCCCUACAGAGAUCAAGAUUAUAGAAAUGGUUGUUAGAAAUUUUACUUGUUGUCACCUGUCUCUUGUUUCAUUUAGAG